GGCCUACCGCACAUCGAAGCGAAAUCCCACCGCGACUACACCUUAUGCUUUGAUGUUUGGCCAUGACGCAGUCCUGCCUUUGGAAGUCAACGUCCAAUCAUUACGAGUCCAAGAGAAACAUCAUCUCAUUGGAGAAGACUACGUUCAGGCUAUGUGGCAGGAACAUGAAGACCUUAGCGAAAAGCGCUUGGAGGCUUUAGAUAAUUUGGUCAUGGAAAAGCAACGAGUCGCUCGAGCCUAUGACAAGCGAACAAGGGGAAGGAAUUACAGCGAAGGAGAGUUGGUUUGGAAAGCAGUUCUCCCGCUUGGCGAAAAAUUAGAUGGUCGCGGCAAAUGGACUCCAAGAUGGGAAGGCCCGUAC
RNAcentral lists this long non-coding RNA (361 nucleotides) under Rosa chinensis. RNAcentral's name for it is "sRNA RchiOBHm_Chr1g0365461". The record is from RNAcentral. Lineage: Eukaryota; Viridiplantae; Streptophyta; Magnoliopsida; Rosales; Rosaceae.